GAGUUUGAUCAUGGCUCAGAAUCAACGCUGGCGGCGUGCCUAACACAUGCAAGUCGAACGCGAAAGUCCCGCAAGGGAUCAGUAGAGUGGCAAACGGGUGAGUAACACGUGGGUGACCUGCCUUCGAGUGGGGGAUAACGUCCCGAAAGGGUCGCUAAUACCGCAUGACAUCCUGCCUUUGAAGAGGUGGAGAUCAAAGCUGGGGAUCGCAAGACCUAGCGCUUGGAGAGGGGCCCGCGUCUGAUUAGCUAGUUGGUGGGGUAACGGCUCACCAAGGCUACGAUCAGUAUCCGGCCUGAGAGGGCGGACGGACACACUGGGACUGAGACACGGCCCAGACUCCUACGGGAGGCAGCAGUGGGGAAUUGUUCGCAAUGGGCGCAAGCCUGACGACGCAACGCCGCGUGGAGGAUGAAGACCUUCGGGUCGUAAACUCCUUUCGAUCGAGACGAAUGGUCUCCGG
RNAcentral lists this ribosomal RNA (463 nucleotides) under uncultured bacterium. RNAcentral describes it as "bacterial SSU rRNA". It matches the Rfam family "Bacterial small subunit ribosomal RNA", at positions 9 to 459 of the family's 1533-position model. The record is from RNAcentral.